AACCAUAGAAACCUGCGGAGUACCUGCGGAAGGAUCAUUAUCGAGUAAGGGUCUUAAAAUGGCCCGAACCUCCCUCCCCCUUGUUAAUCAAAUCAAUUUGUUGCUUUGGCGGGCCGUGAUCAAUUUUUUUUCUAAAUGACCACCGCUAAACUUUUUUGCGAGUGCUCGCCAAAAGCCCACCUAGACUCGUUUUACAAAAAAUGAAGUCUGAUUUUAAAAUUGAAUUAUUGAAAAAACUUU
RNAcentral lists this unclassified non-coding RNA (240 nucleotides) under soil metagenome. RNAcentral describes it as "partial contains 5.8S ribosomal RNA, internal transcribed spacer 2, and large subunit ribosomal RNA". The record is from RNAcentral.